Long non-coding RNA from Galeopterus variegatus (Sunda flying lemur), 736 nucleotides. RefSeq lists it as uncharacterized. The record is from RefSeq and is a predicted model, not a curated record. NCBI's taxonomy places the organism in Eukaryota, Metazoa, Chordata, Mammalia, Dermoptera, Cynocephalidae. The transcript has 4 exons.
GGUGUGUUUAAGGGGUAGAGCCAAGAGGACUUGCUAAUGGGUUGGAGGUGGGAUACAGAGAGAGGAGCCAAAAUAGUCUGAGACACAGAAGAACAGAAUUGCCAUUUCCUGAUCUGGAACACAGCGCAGGAGGGGUAAUGCGGGGAAACUGGAGUUCCAUUUCAGGCACCUGUCAGACAUCUGCAGAGAGAUGGGGAGGGGCCCACUGCCCGUGCACCUGGAGCUUGGAUGGAACCAACACAGAAGAGUGCCAGCAUCGAAGCUGCCGCUAAGGCCACAUUUCUCACAGGGGCACUUCCAAUCCAGUGACACACCGAGGGGAAUCAAGGUCAGGAGGGGCUGUAAGAAACCACGGGCAUGGACCAUCCACUGACUGGGCACGGUCAGUGUCUGGACCCUCGGGUGCCAGAUGCAGUAAGAGUGGAAUGAGCAGGAGAGGACACAUGAGCUUCUCAAACGGAGUUUCUUCCAGAAUCCCAGAGAAGGCUCAGAGAGGUUUGUGGAGAAAGAGUGAAGUCAACUCAGAUUACAAACUGCACGAGAACAGACACCUUUGGCCUCAGUAAUGCAGCAUAAUAGGCCCAAGCACCACUCGAGGCAUGGAGCAGGCACUCAGGAAAUACCAUAGGAAGGAAGGAGAGGAAGACGGGCCUUGAGCUGGACCCAGCUGUAUUCACCAUCUCCCAGAUGAUCAGCCUAACAGAAGUCUUCGCCCACUCCAGUAGGAGCCACAUCA